AUGACCAACCUGAGGAGACAGUCUUGCAGCGUAUAUUUUAAGGACAUAAGUGGAGCUAGAACUGUGAAGGAGACAAGUGCUCUAGUGAACACUUCCUGCCGUGAAGCUACCAGAUGGCGUUCUCAGCCCAGCCUUGACGCAGCGGCAGCCUCGGCUGACACGCCCUCGGAGGCGCCAGCUGGUAGCACAGUGUUCAGAUACGGAGCCCAGGACGAGCCUCUGCCGGGGUCCAGCCACAGGUUAAUAUUGAAGACAAUUCUUACGUCUCCAUGGAGCCACACAACUUCAGACAAAGCAAAGAUGAAAGCCACACCCAGAGCAAAUGUAGAUGGUUCACCAUCCCUUGGUGUCCUGGUUCACCAUCCCUUGGUCUCCCACUACCUGCUGAACAGCCACCAUCUCAUGAAAUUGGUUAUCUCCAGAAGUUUCCAGGCCAGGCGCCAAUAUGGGCUGAGAGUAACAUCAAAAACUCUACAGCUUGUAAAAUGAUGUUAAAGAGGUUUCUCCAAGGCGAUCUGAGUAAAAUACCAUCUUCCCUGCCGCAGGUUAGGACAGGGAAUUCCAGUGGCAAAAGGCUCACGCAGUGCUCCAAGCAGAGUGCACCUGCUUCCUUCCGCAAGAAAAGCCAAGAGCUGGAUGUGCGUUUGGUACCGCGGCUGAGGGUCACCCAGGACCUGUGUGGCAGACGACAGGUGUCGUCCUGUACUGGAAUAUUCGUUCCUCUGCGAUUUGGCCCCGUCCCUGCUUGUGGUGUGUUUCACUCAGCCUCGUGUUCCACGGUGGGGCUUGCUGGGAAGCUGUUUUCUCACUGAGUGGAGCCCACAGUUGAAAGAAAAGCAGCGUGCAUGAGCAAGAUCUGACUCAAGCCUGCACGUGAAUUAUGGAAGCAGGGCAACCUUUUCUGUCGAGACAAUUCACACUGUGGCGAUCCCUGAUUUGGCUCAGAUCUUGGCGCUGUGUAGAUGUUGAUACUGUAGUUGCAUCUCAAGAGGUUGGUCUUCUUCAGACCCGGGGGAGAGCUGAGAAGACACUGGAGCUCAGUAGCUGGACAAGAUCUCCUCCGGCGUCUCCAGUCUCACUUCCGAGAAAGGCCGUCUCCCGGCUGCUCCCUGAGCCCUUUCCAGAAAUGCCCCUUGACCUUGGCAGUGGUUUAAAGCUGCCAGGAUACUCAAAUUCUUCGGCCACUCACCGUGGAGGAAGAUUAUUAAACAGGUGUGUAGAGAACUUGGCCCUCCUUUUUGAUGACAGAAAUUCAUGUGGAGAUGGGAGAGAUUAGAUUUUUCUUCCACGAUCAGGAAAGCUGAAUGUUAUUUAACUGCACUGAUUCUAUGUUACUUCAAGUGGGUAAAAUAAAACUACAGCAAUUUCAAGUAUGUGAAGGCA
RNAcentral lists this long non-coding RNA (1383 nucleotides) under Oryctolagus cuniculus (rabbit). Its description in RNAcentral is "lncRNA (ENSOCUG00000032992.1)". Lineage: Eukaryota; Metazoa; Chordata; Mammalia; Lagomorpha; Leporidae. The record is from RNAcentral.